CGCAGCGCAAGCAAACGCGGGGCAGCGCUCCCUCCCCGCCCCCGCGGCGGAACUCGGGGAACUUCCAGCAUGGACAAUUUAGAAGCCACAUUCCCCGUCGAAAAUAGCUUUAACACGUUAAAUGCACGUCAUUCUAAAGGUUUUGCAAUGUAGAGUCUGAAAGGCUAUCUUUUCAUGCCUGCCCAAAGGAAAUCGCGGCUAUCCCUCUCGUGCAAAUUCAGCACUGUAGAAUAUCAGCUGUGUCACGAAAACAGGAAGGGAAAUGGGCUACUACAUGCCUGCUACAGCUGUUGAGGCAGUCUGGGACAUCAGUUUCACUCAGGGACAAACAGUCAUACUAUAGCAAGGGGCAAAGUCAAGGUAUUGCCCAGUUACAGUAACAGGCUAGUCCUCUUAAAAAAGUUAAAAUUAAGCUUUUAAUUUAGCUUUUGAAUCAGGCUGAUUAAAUACCAAGAUUUCAUUUUGUUUCACCUGCCCUCCUGUAUUCAAGGCAGUGGCUAAGAAAGGUGUAGAGCACAGGUAAGUCAGGUGAUAAGCAAAGCAAGCCCUCCAGCAGAGUAAGCACUCUCCCACUGCCUGUGGGAUAGAGCCUGUCCCAGCAGCAGGAUCUUCCCUGAUGCCUCCGCUGAGAGAUGCAGAGAAGCAGCACUGUGUCCGGCGCUUCAAGGCCUGGUGCACAACUGCCACUGCCACGGUGCGGGAGAGCGGAUGAGCCAGCCAGCAAGACCAUAUAUGUUCAGUCUACUAAUAUUUGUGGACAAAAUGAGAAGAGCAGCUAUGACAGGAAAACUAAAGACAAAGCAAGCAUUGGAAAAAAGUCACCUAAAGAUGCAAAAGUUUGAGGAAACCCUAAAUACAGGAAAACAAGAGGUUAGAACUGAAGUCGACUGGUUUUACCAUCUUAAACUACAAACACUGAUGCCUUUCCAGAUAUAACACAUGAGCCUGCAAGAUGACGGCUAUUCUAUGGCUCACAUGUGGAUGUCAAGGACCAAAGAUGAAAGACUACCCAAGCUAAUCUGCAUGGAAACUGCAAAAGCACCUGGAAUAUUAGGGGAAUACAGAAACUGAGUGUUUUAUUAGGAAGAACGCAACUGGUCCUGAGUAGAAAUGAGGACUGAGAUUCAAUACAAAUUUAAGUGAAGAGAAAUAAUUCUGCAACUUCAGAAGUUUACACCGCAAUAUGGAGAAGCACAGAAAGGAGACAAAUAGUUCAAAGAGCAAGAGAACUGUGAAAAUUACAUGCAAAUGUUUUUUAAAUGUAUAACGUGUUUUCUUCAGUUGUGUAUGUUCAUCCUUUUACAUUCAGCUUAAGACAUUUGUGCAAGCCACUUUAUUUCCAGCAAACAUUAACAUUUUGUGGGCAAACACAAAAAUCCCUAGAUUUUUCUCUCUCCACACGCACAUGUUUUUGUUCAAUUUAUUCAAGCACUCAUCCUCUCAGAAAGUAAAAACGAUUCUAUCCAGCAAGCAAGAACCACAGACAGGCCUCAAGUGAAUAAGGAAAGCCUUCGAAGAGCCUUCUUCUGCUGAAAACUGAAACAUCUGCUGAGCAUGCCAGAGGAAACUGUGUCUGCUGGAUUCCUGACUGCAGCAUAUUUCUUCCUUGAGCUACGUGAAGUAGGAUGAAGGGCAGAGGAGAUGGUGAGCGGGGAUAACCCUUGAGCGCUGGGACGGCAAUUUCAGCCCAAAGCCUGCCCUGAAGGAGGGGAUACAAGAGGCUGCUACAAAACAGGAAGACAAAUCCUUCCUUCUGCUUAUGUACAUCCAGACCUGGAAUUUAGAAAGGCCAACAAAGGAGAGCAGUAGCUGAAUCCAGGCAGGAAAAGGCAAAACGACUCCUGUGAAGCAAUUACAAAUGUCAGAGAUAAAUCAGAACAGCCUUAUCAUUGAAAGAGAAAGAUGGCUGAUCUUUUGAAAUUCUUCUGAAAAAUCCCUACAGAAUGAGCAGUAGAAAGUUGGCUUUGAAUCUGUUGGAAUUAUACAGAAAUACUAAAUUAUUGUGUUACAUAUACACACAUUAAUUAAUGUAACACAAAUCAAUAUAAUGGACAACAGUAUUGCAUAUGUUCCCCAUCCAAAAUUCUGCGUUACCCUGUUGUGUUUCAGAGUUUGCAUCCUAUAGCACAUGAUUCCUACAUUUUCCUUAAUUUUAGAAACUGUCCUACUAGCAGCCACUGCUCUUCUGGCUGAGAAUGACAAGGUGGGGUUUUAGCCAUCAACACUGUUCAGCGUCAGGAGCAAAGUUGGGUGAAAUGAAUCUUCUACCCUUUGGUGAGAUGGACCGGAGCUGAAAUGCCUGAGUUGCACAUAGAGUUGCCACGGCCUCCUAUCCCUACUGAGAGCCGACACGUUUAGAAAGUGAUUGCAAUGGUAGGGAGGGAUUAGCAGGUAUCACACGAAUGGAUCAUGUUUUCUGAAGGUUCUGGAGAAAAAAACUAAGGAGAGCUGGAGGCGUUCUGGAAAGCUGAUUUGGCAGAACUGAAUUUCCUACUUUUUCAGUUUGCCUAACAGUGAGAGAAAAUCUAAUGAAAUAGGUAUUCUUAACAGGGCCAAAAAUUGUCUAAGCUCUCCCAAUCAGCUUCAGAAAAAUAAAACCCUGGAAAAUGCACAGCAAGAACUUAAGAAUAUGACCAAGAAAAUAAGGAGAAGUGACUUGACACUCUUUACUUAAAAGUCUUCUAUAUUCUGGCUUCUGACUAUGAAUUAUUUAAAAGGUGUUUGGAAAACCUCAUCACUUAUGGGAAAAAAUCUGCAUCUCUAAAGAGAUCACAGCUUUGUUGUCAGGAUCCUAAUUUAUUAUUUCAAUAUACCAUCUCAGGGGUGCCCAGCUACUGAAACAAGAAAAAGUAAUUUUAAGAAGUUUAUUUACCCAGUUUUCUUUUUUUCCUCCAAAUACAAUGUAAUAGGCUUGACUACCUUUCCUCUAGACAGCUCCUGGGAGGGCUUGUGAAGACAGCACAGCACGGGGGGCCUGCAGAACCACACCAGCAGCCUGAGACACAGCAAUUGCUAGACAACUGGCAUCUAAAUUCAACGAUAUUUGUAAUCUUUCAUCCAAUGGCUGGUUCUCACCACAGAGAACUCCAGGGAUAGUAACUUGCUGGUAAGCCCACAUUUCAGUUCUGGUACUCAGUCUAGGCUUCAGCGACCACCUAUCGAAAGCUCUUGAAAUCUGCCUACUCUGGCAGGAGCGGAUAAGCGUAUGUAUAUAUACCUCGCACAGCCUUUCAGCAGGUUGAGUCCCCAGUGCUGCAGUUUGGGAAGCACUAGUACAGCUUAUUGAAGUUCUAGCUAAAGUUCCUGGCGUAAGAAAGCUGUGACCACAGCAGUAUUGGUUAUUACAGAAGUUCUCUCAUUGGAAGUGAUUAAGAAGAAACCUGACCAAGUAUUUCUGCAGGUCAAGCACUGGCAGGGCAGAGGAGCAACAUUACAAACAUUACAUUUUCAGGAUCUCAUUCAUGUGAUUCUCUCUGCUGCUCUCUACUACAUAUAUGAUGCAACUCUGUUUAUAGCAAAGAAGGGACAGUAGGGACUGCUUAAUCAGGACAGUCUAAUGUAUGGGCAAUUAUCCAAAGCCACACAUUUUCUAAAUUCUGUAUGGGCAGAGAUGGAGCUUAAGAGCUCUGUAGGGAUCAGAGCUGCUAACAAACUUCUAAGGAGGGCUCUGGGGACUGCGAUGUGCAUAAUGAGAAAAUCUGGAUAUUCAGUGUGAAGAACUCUCCCAAUUUAGCUGCAGUCUAUGUAAAUUAAAUUUGUAUUUAAUGCUUGUCACUAUGCAGUCCUCUUUAGCACUGGGAUAAAUUGGGUAGCCUGUGAUUUUUCCCUUUUUUGUUAUUAGUGUGGCUGAAAGUGGUUCAGAAAGGUGAGACCUGGAAAACUUGGUCAAGGACGCUGCUGGGAAGUACUAUUAUAUAGCCAAAUUUUCCUAUCAGCUCCCACCUCUUCAGGCUACAGCAUCAUGUCUGCAUGCUACAUGCUUAUUUAUUUCCAUGUGUUACAUUUGAACAUCAUAUGCACAUAGUCUCUAUAUAUAUGUACAUAUACGUGUGUGCAUAUACACACACAUACAUUUAUAACACACCUACUAAAACAAAGGGGUCUAGAGAACCUUUAGAAUACUGGAUUUAAAAAAGAAGAAGAGAAAAAAAAUCUUCUAAAAUACUUAAUUCUAUGUUUUCUUCUAUUCCUUCCACAUAACUAAAAGUGCUUCCACUAUAUUUAACUUUCGAAAGUCUGAAGACAUCCUUGGUGGUUACCCUUAGUUCUAAUCCAGUUCCUUUGUUACUGAGUCAGUUCAGAAAAACAUCUCUGUUCAGGAAAGCACUUAAACAUACACUUAAGUACAUUCUUAAAGGUAACUUCUCGAAUCAGUCUAAUAAUUUAAAGUAGUAUU
This is a long non-coding RNA of Harpia harpyja (harpy eagle), 4396 nucleotides long. RefSeq lists it as uncharacterized. The record is from RefSeq and is a predicted model, not a curated record. NCBI's taxonomy places the organism in Eukaryota, Metazoa, Chordata, Aves, Accipitriformes, Accipitridae. The transcript has 3 exons.